RNAcentral lists this long non-coding RNA (1624 nucleotides) under Nicotiana benthamiana. Its description in RNAcentral is "long non-coding RNA (NBEN_LNC039789)". Lineage: Eukaryota; Viridiplantae; Streptophyta; Magnoliopsida; Solanales; Solanaceae. The record is from RNAcentral.
CCUUUUCCUUUAUUAUAGACUGCUUUUCUAUAUAGGGUCCACUUCUUUGACAAGACACAAACAAAACUCAAUAAAACAUUAUUUUUCAAGGGGGCAAGAAAACAAGAACUUAAAGUAAAGAAACAUCAACUGUAACAAAGAGAUCUGACACCACUGCAUUAUAUGGGUGUCUCAAACUUUUCAUCACUGAAUCACUGCAAUUUUUCCUGAUUCAUGAAAUCAAUAGAAUCACAAGAAAUGAAGUUUCAUCAAACAUCCUUUAUGUUCACAUAUACAUUCAAACUUUCAAAAGAAAAAAAAAAGCAGCAGCAAACUUGAAUUUUUUAAUUAUCUUUAUGGAAUUUACUAGUAGAAGAAAAAGAAUUAUAGGAGAAGAAAGAGAAGAUAUCAAGAAAUACACCAUUACAAAUGACAUGCAAAAAGAAGGAGGAAUAAUGGCUCUUGUUGAAACCUCAUCUGAAAUUUUGACAAGAUUACAUCAACAUUUCUUCAUAAAAUCAAUAGUAAUAUGAAGGGUUUAGGGGGGGGGGAGGGUUGGUGAAUCUUGAAAUUUUAUGCACAAGACAAGUAUACACAAUCCAUCUCUAUUUAUUAAACAUUUUUAAUAGCAGAAACAUAGGAGAAUAAACUAGUAUUUUCUUGUGUAUAACAUACAUCAAUUAAUUUUUGUGACAAAACAGAGAAGAAACUAACAUAUUCUUCACAUACAACACAAACAACGAAAAAGGAAAUGAAAAAAAUAAUAAUUAUCAUAACAAUAAUAAUACUAACACCUUCUUUGUAAUAAGAUAAGCAAGGUGCAAACAAUUCAUCUGUUGGACUCUGGAUUUGCACCACUAGGAACUUCAUGAGCAGCCACCCCAUAUUGUUGACUCGCCGUCCUGGCCUCAUCGGCAUUGACCGUGAAAGCGGUCGCAGUUGUGGUUGUGGUCACGGUCGUGGUCGUGGUCGUGUCCGUAGCAGUACUGACAGUUCCCAUAUUGUUGACUCGCCGUACCGGUCCCACCGCCAUUGACGGUGAAAGCAGUUGCAGCUGUGGUCAUAGCCGUGGUCGUGGCCGUAGCAGUACUGACAGCUGAUUGCUUAGAAUGAACUUGCAUGGCUGAUUCCUUACUCGUUGGAGAAUUUUCUAGGUUAACUCUUCCAUUUGUUGCUAAGGAAAAAGCUUGAAAAUUGAUUGUGUUAGUAGUUGGAAUUAUCAAGAAUAGCCCAAGGAAGAGAAGAAGAAAGAGAGAUUGUGAUAGUGUUGUUUUUGCCAUGAAAAAAGUUGAAUAACAAAGAAAAAUAACCACCCCCCAAUAACCCUAGGGAGAUCAAUAUCCAUGAACCAAAUGAAACCGCCAAGAUGGAAAUGCUAAAGGACAAAGAAAUCCAAAAAAUAGAAAAAGGAAAAUUUUAUGUUAUUCUUACUAUGAGUAGAAACUUUAGCUUCUCAAUUUCAAACCAUAAAGUAAUGUUAUGACUAUCAAGAGCUACAAUGGUUUUCUCAUCAAAAUAGAUGGAUAUAAAUAUGGGAAAUCCUGUGAAACAUGACUUUCUCUUUCACUUUCCCAUUUUGCCCCUCUUUUUCUUUAUAUUAUUGGUAUCUUAAGCACCUCCCAUACACGUCAAUUAUCCACUGGGC